Molecule: long non-coding RNA, 1529 nt
Organism: Gorilla gorilla gorilla (western lowland gorilla)
Lineage: Eukaryota; Metazoa; Chordata; Mammalia; Primates; Hominidae
Exons: 4
Source: RefSeq, a predicted model, not a curated record
GUAUACUUCUGGCCCAAUUUCUUCUUCUUUUCUGAGAAUAUAUAAUUACUAUUUGAUGUAGAUUUUUUAUGUUAGCCAUAGACAAUCCUUAAUUGAAAAAUCAUUUAGACAAUCUCUCAAACUUUAAGUUAAUUUUCUAUGCCACGUUUUCUUAACUCAUCAAAAUAUGCAUCAUAUUGAUUUUCAAUUAAUUUAUUUUGAAAUGAAUGAAAUAAAAAUGUGAAAAAAGUUAUCCAGAAUGAAACAACAGUAUAGGAUGAUUAACAAGAUUAACAUAUUAGUCAAUAUAUAAUUCCACUGCUAUAUUGCCAUAUCUAUGGAACUGUUGUGAUAUGUUCAUUCUACUAAAUCCUAAUAUUUAAAAAAAAGAAAAGAAAAAUGACCUCCAGUACAUAUAGAAAAUUGGCUGCUUUAGUAUGCAUUAACUAAUUUUGAAGAAAUAGCAAAGAAAUGCUCAAACUUUCUUUGUUUUAUUAAAACUAUGCUGUAUUGUGUUAGACUAUUGAAAAACAAAACAAAUAGGGACCUGUAUUCUUUGAACUGAUGAGCUUCUUGAAAAUAGAAUAAAUACCCCUGGCAUUGGACUUUUAAUAUGGUAUUGUUUAAAGGAGCACUUUUGCCUAGCAAAAUUAGAAAGGAUUUUUUAUUUUUUCAUCCUCUAUAUAUGCUGUUCCUUUCUCCAGAAGACAAGCCAAUGGUAUGUGAAAGAGCUUUAAAUUUUUCACUCAAAAUAAUCAUGUAGAGAUAAAAAAGAACAGACCUUCUAUUAUAUCACCAGUCUAAGACAAACAUGCGUUUUAACUUCACCCUCAACAGAAUAAGCUCUUGUGGCCUUAGUGCUUAUCAUGCAUUGUCAGUAGGGAAAGAAAAUCACAAUGAAGAACAAAACAUUUUCAACUUUUAAAAACUAAAAGAGGGAAAAUUUAAGGCAGAACUAAAUUAAGUAGCAAUAAAUUAGGACUGCUUUAGUUGGUGGUUUCCAAUAAGCUCUAGAGCCACUUCCUUUCACCAAGUACAUGAGUGUUGCUUCAGCUAUCAUUCCUUUAAUUCAUGUCCUUUCUCUCUCUAGAAAAACUCAUAUAUUCAUUAUCCUAGGAAUAUCAGGUUUGCAAAGCUGGACCAAACUAAAGACUCUUCGAGGUGCACUUUGGCUUCUUAAAAGAGCUACCAAGAUUUUGGCUGAGGCACCUGACUUAAAACUCAGCAGUGUCUAAAGCAUUGCUGAGCACAUGGAAGACACUCAAUAAAUACUUGUUUAAUGGAAUUGAAUUUGUAAGCACCAGAGACUCAUGCUUCCUUUUCACAUAGCUUGACACUUGGCUGCCCAGGAUCCUUGCAUGCAAGGUGAUGGAGUCUUGGCUGUCACUCAGGCUGGAGUGCAGUAGUGUGAUCUUGGCUCACUGCAAGCUCCGCCUCCCAGGUACAAGUGAUUCUCCUGCCUCAGCCUCCCGAGUAGCUGGAACUACAGGAUCUCAUCCAGGAUACCACAUUACAUUUAGCAGUCAUGUCUCUUUAGUCUUCUCUUUACU